Pelobates cultripes (western spadefoot toad) is the source of this 211-nucleotide non-coding RNA. The record is from the annotation of a GenBank genome assembly. Lineage: Eukaryota; Metazoa; Chordata; Amphibia; Anura; Pelobatidae.
UGGACCUCUAGAUGAUACUGAAGGCAGCCAUUUCUUCAGCUGUCACUGCACGUAUUAAGGAAUGUGACAGAUAUUCUCUAUGUUAUAGCAUUAAAAAUUCAUAUAAACUCUCACGAUUGGCAGUAAAUGUUGACCCCUUCCCCACACCCUGGGAAAGAAAACAUAUCUUUGUAAGAUAACAGCUAUAAUACUCAUCUGACUCUAUUGCCAC